RNAcentral lists this long non-coding RNA (361 nucleotides) under Theobroma cacao (cacao). Its description in RNAcentral is "long non-coding RNA (TCAC_LNC000743)". The record is from RNAcentral. Lineage: Eukaryota; Viridiplantae; Streptophyta; Magnoliopsida; Malvales; Malvaceae.
UUGCAUAUCAUUAGCUCAAUACUCUCUACCCCUUCCCCAUCACACUGAAAAUGGCCUCCACCGCCACUCUCUCCAGCGCCAUGGUCAGCACCUCCUUUGUCCGCCGCCAGCCGGUGACAAGCCUACGCUCCCUUCCUACCUUUAGGCAGGCUCUUUUUGGCCUAAAAGCCCAGAGAGGGGGCCGACUUACCAUGGCUGCAUACAAAGUAACUCUCCUCACUCCUGAAGGACCUUUAGAAUUUGAGUGCCCAGACGACGUAUACAUUCUUGACCAAGCCGAGGAAGAGGGUAUUGAUAUUCCAUACUCAUGCAGGGCUGGUUCUUGCUCUUCAUGCACUGGAAAGGUUACAAAAGGUUCUGU